CAAGCGUGGAGCAUGUGGUUUAAUUCGAAGCAACGCGAAGAACCGUUUACCAGGUCUUGACAUCCCGAUGCUAUUUCUAGAGAUAGAAAGUUACUUCGGUACAUCGGUGACAGGUGGUGCAUGGUUGUCGUCAGCUCGUGUCGUGAGAUGUUGGGUUAAGUCCCGCAACGAGCGCAACCCCUAUUGUUAGUUGCCAUCAUUCAGUUGGGCACUCUAGCAAGACUGCCGGUAAUAAACCGGAGGAAGUGGGGAUGACGUCAAAUCAUCAUGCCCCUUAUGACCUGGGCUACACACGUGCUACAAUGGUUGGUACAACGAGUUGCGAGUCGGUGACGGCGAGCUAAUCUCUUAAAGCCAAUCUCAGUUCGGAUUGUAGGCUGCAACUCGCCUACAUGAAGUCGGAAUCGCUAGUAAUCGCAGGUCAGCAUACUGCGGUGAAUACGUUCCCGGGCCUU
This 455-nucleotide ribosomal RNA is filed under the name uncultured Streptococcus sp. Its description in RNAcentral is "bacterial SSU rRNA". It matches the Rfam family "Bacterial small subunit ribosomal RNA", at positions 926 to 1382 of the family's 1533-position model. The record is from RNAcentral. Lineage: Bacteria; Bacillati; Bacillota; Bacilli; Lactobacillales; Streptococcaceae.